UACGUAGGGUGCAAGCGUUAUCCGGAAUUAUUGGGCGUAAAGAGCUCGUAGGCGGUUUGUCGCGUCUGCUGUGAAAACUGGAGGCUCAACCUCCAGCCUGCAGUGGGUACGGGCAAACUAGAGUGCGGUAGGGGAGAUUGGAAUUCCUGGUGUAGCGGUGGAAUGCGCAGAUAUCAGGAGGAACACCGAUGGCGAAGGCAGAUCUCUAGGCCGUAACUGACGCUGAGGAGCGAAAGCAUGGGGAGCGAACAGG
This 253-nucleotide ribosomal RNA is filed under the name uncultured bacterium. RNAcentral's name for it is "partial 16S ribosomal RNA". It matches the Rfam family "Bacterial small subunit ribosomal RNA", at positions 524 to 776 of the family's 1533-position model. The record is from RNAcentral.